Molecule: ribosomal RNA, 253 nt
Filed under: uncultured bacterium
Lineage: Bacteria
Description: partial 16S ribosomal RNA
Rfam family: Bacterial small subunit ribosomal RNA
Source: RNAcentral
GACAGAGGCCACAAGCGUUAGGCGGAAUCACUGGGCUUAAAGCGUGUGUAGGCGGAGGCGUAAGUGUCUUGUGAAAUCCCCCGGCUCAACCGGGGAACCGCUGGGCAUACUGCGUCUCUUGGGCCAAUCAGGGGCAGCUGGAACAAACGGUGGAGCGGUGAAAUGCGUAGAUAUCGUUUGGAACGCCAACGGCGAAAGCAGGAUGCUGGGAGUGUGCUGACGCUGAGACACGAAAGCGUGGGGAGCAAACAGG